AGGACGAACGCUGGCGGCGUGCUUAACACAUGCAAGUCGAGCGGUAAGGCCUUUCGGGGUACACGAGCGGCGAACGGGUGAGUAACACGUGGGUGAUCUGCCCUGCACUCUGGGAUAAGCCUGGGAAACUGGGUCUAAUACCGGAUAUGACCUGCUCUCGCAUGGGGGUGGGUGGAAAGAUUUAUCGGUGCAGGAUGGGCCCGCGGCCUAUCAGCUUGUUGGUGGGGUAAUGGCCUACCAAGGCGACGACGGGUAGCCGACCUGAGAGGGUGACCGGCCACACUGGGACUGAGACACGGCCCAGACUCCUACGGGAGGCAGCAGUGGGGAAUAUUGCACAAUGGGCGAAAGCCUGAUGCAGCGACGCCGCGUGAGGGAUGAAGGCCUUCGGGUUGUAAACCGUCUUUCAGCAGGGACGAAGCGCAAGUGACGGUACCUGCAAGAAGAAGCAACCGGCUAACUACGUGCCAGCAGCCGC
RNAcentral lists this ribosomal RNA (478 nucleotides) under uncultured soil bacterium. RNAcentral's name for it is "bacterial SSU rRNA". It matches the Rfam family "Bacterial small subunit ribosomal RNA", at positions 26 to 518 of the family's 1533-position model. The record is from RNAcentral.